GACGAACGCUGGCGGCGUGCUUAACACAUGCAAGUCGAACGGAAAGGCCCUGCUUUUGUGGGGUGCUCGAGUGGCGAACGGGUGAGUAACACGUGAGUAACCUGCCCUUGACUUUGGGAUAACUUCAGGAAACUGGGGCUAAUACCGGAUAGGAGCUCCUGCUGCAUGGUGGGGGUUGGAAAGUUUCGGCGGUUGGGGAUGAACUCGCGGCUUAUCAGCUUGUUGGUGGGGUAGUGGCUUACCAAGGCUUUGACGGGUAGCCGGCCUGAGAGGGUGACCGGCCACAUUGGGACUGAGAUACGGCCCAGACUCCUACUGGAGGCAGCAGUGGGGAAUAUUGCACAAUGGGUGGAAGCCUGAUGCAGCAACGCCGUGUGCGGGAUGACGGCCUUCGGGUUGUAAACCGCUUUCGCUCAUGACGAAGCUUUGUGUGACGGUAGUGGGUAAAGAAGCACCGGCUAACUACGUG
Molecule: ribosomal RNA, 469 nt
Filed under: uncultured bacterium
Lineage: Bacteria
Description: partial 16S ribosomal RNA
Rfam family: Bacterial small subunit ribosomal RNA
Source: RNAcentral